Molecule: long non-coding RNA, 958 nt
Filed under: Olea europaea subsp. europaea
Lineage: Eukaryota; Viridiplantae; Streptophyta; Magnoliopsida; Lamiales; Oleaceae
Source: RNAcentral
UGGCCCUCACGAGCUUCAUAAAAUGGCGACAUUGAAAAUAAUAUCAGUACAAGAACGUUCUCCUGUGCUUCCAGACAUGCUCAGCUCCACAUAUUCUUGUACAGUCAAAAUGUCAAAUAUCAUUGAAUCAGUUAUAAAUAAAGGAUUAUGUGUCAAUGGUCAUUAUCCCUACAGCCUAAUUGUAAAUGAAGUUGAUGACCUCUUUCAGUGUAAUGACGUAAACAUCCUGGUCCAAAGCAUCAACUUUUGGAUAGGUCUUCCAUUUCUUCUCUGCAUUGAUUGUCUUGGUUAUGGAUUCGUUAGCUCGGACCUUCGCCGCCUCCACCUUGUCAUUUCCACAACGAUUUUGGCUUUUUCCUGCUCCAACGAGUAGUCAAGGCAGUCUUCUUAUCAACCCAUUUCGCCUCAGCCUCCUAAGAGAAAGCUCUUCGCUCUUCGGCAGCUUGAUACAUAACCAGAGCAUCAUCUCUGAUCUUUUGGAUGGCUUGUAACUCAGCUUUCACCGAAGUGCAGUUCAAAUAAAAUGAGAAGACAAAUGACUCGAUAAAAAUGAGCACGUCGUAACAAAGACAAUCAAGAAAUUAUACUUUCUCCGAAAUUGACGUCAUAUGGAGAACAGAAUGGUGGUAAUAAACGACUGUCAUGAUACAUGACUCAUUCGCGCUCAUUUGGCCUAGGAAGCCCUACUCACGAUUGGUCCAACUUUGGGCAAGCAGGCAAGCUGAAUUACUAAAGAGAGGAGGUAGGGAUCGGGUCAUUCCCGUGGAUGGAGGAGACUUGUAGAAGGCUAGAAGCGCCUUAGCUUGGCCCUCUGUGAGCUCGUCCAAAUUUGACCAAAGGCAUGCUACUGGAAGAGUUGGCCUUUGAUCGCCAAGUAAAGAGACCUUAGGCUUGACUUGUGCCUUCUUCUUUUGUCACGUGGAAGGAUAAUAGGACGGUAAAUUCCCUUGAAACUCCU